Molecule: ribosomal RNA, 305 nt
Filed under: uncultured bacterium
Lineage: Bacteria
Description: bacterial SSU rRNA
Rfam family: Bacterial small subunit ribosomal RNA
Source: RNAcentral
ACCUACGGGAGGCAGCAGUGAGGAAUAUUGGUCAAUGGUCGGGAGACUGAACCAGCCAAGCCGCGUGAGGGAUGAAGGUACAGAGUAUCGUAAACCUCUUUUGUCAGGGAACAAAGGCGGGACGCGUCCCCGGAUGAGUGUACCUGAAGAAAAAGCAUCGGCUAACUCCGUGCCAGCAGCCGCGGUAAUACGGAGGAUGCGAGCGUUAUCCGGAUUUAUUGGGUUUAAAGGGUGCGCAGGCGGUCUGUUAAGUCAGCGGUCAAAGCCCGGGGCUCAACCCCGGCCCGCCGUUGAAACUGGCAGUC